Long non-coding RNA from Cyprinodon tularosa, 994 nucleotides. RefSeq lists it as uncharacterized. The transcript has 3 exons. The record is from RefSeq and is a predicted model, not a curated record. Lineage: Eukaryota; Metazoa; Chordata; Actinopteri; Cyprinodontiformes; Cyprinodontidae.
UGGUGAAACUGUUCCUGUUCCUGAUUCUGAAAUUUCUUUGAACAGAUCCCCAAACCUUGAUGGCAUAAAUCAAAUUGAUGACAUUUCUCUAAGACGAUCAACACGUCACAGAGUGGCGCCUAAACGGCUUCAAUAUACUACUUUAGGCAAUCCGCUUAUUUCAGUUGUUCAAACUUUAUUGCACAGUUUGUCUGAUGCUUUAGUUUUGACACCCACCACUUCCAGCAAUGUUCACAUUGUUUAAUGUUUACAUGUCACGGGACGUGCAUGAUUUAAAGGGGGGAGGGUGUAACCCAGGGUGAAAACUGCCCUUAGUCCCGCCUUACUGCCCCAUUGGUUAGAGUGACAGUCAGUCACACAGUGCAUGCAGCCAAUUGACACACCUGAGGCAAUUAUUUAGGCUUGCUCCAGCUUUCCCCAGUCAGAUGUGAGGGGGAGAGCUGGAGACAAAGGAGCUACAGAUCCGAGAAAUCCAGUGAGUUUGGAGCCUUGGAGCUGCCAUACUCUCAUCUUUUAUUGGAAUUGGCCAGGUGAUCCCUUUUUAGGGAAAAAGAUGGCGAGCUUCUGAAAACUGGCUGGAGCCAGGAGAGCCUUAAGAAUCACUCCACAGUGGACUGGUCUGUAUCAUUUCCCCCCCUCCAUCUCACCACUCAGGCAUACACUCCAUUAUUCACUUCUUCAUCUGAAACAACUUGCGCUGGGACAUUCUUCAACUUAAAUAUCUGGAUAAUCCAACCAUGGAUUUCUGAAUGUGUGUCGGGUCAGACUCUGGACUGAUCAGCGGGGAAUUUAAGACCAGUUGUGCACAAACAAAAGGAUUACCACAGUACUGUGUAUAUAUAUUUUUUUGUAUUUAUUUUGGGUUCUAUGUAUGUUGUCUUGUAUUGUUUACUUUAAAUUUGUCUAAUACAUGGUAUUGAAGGCAGUUAUUUUGUGUUGUUUAUUGAUUACUGACAACGGCUCCAGUAGACGAAUUCUAGUCUUCUGAUUUUCU